Molecule: ribosomal RNA, 889 nt
Filed under: uncultured Gammaproteobacteria bacterium
Lineage: Bacteria; Pseudomonadati; Pseudomonadota; Gammaproteobacteria
Description: bacterial SSU rRNA
Rfam family: Bacterial small subunit ribosomal RNA
Source: RNAcentral
GUCGAGCGGGGAAGUGUAGCUUGCUACCUAACCUAGCGGCGGACGGGUGAGUAAUGCUUAGGAAUCUGCCUAUUAGUGGGGGACAACAUUCCGAAAGGAAUGCUAAUACCGCAUACGUCCUACGGGAGAAAGCAGGGGAUCUUCGGACCUUGCGCUAAUAGAUGAGCCUAAGUCGGAUUAGCUAGUUGGUGGGGUAAAGGCCUACCAAGGCGACGAUCUGUAGCGGGUCUGAGAGGAUGAUCCGCCACACUGGGACUGAGACACGGCCCAGACUCCUACGGGAGGCAGCAGUGGGGAAUAUUGGACAAUGGGCGGAAGCCUGAUCCAGCCAUGCCGCGUGUGUGAAGAAGGCCUUAUGGUUGUAAAGCACUUUAAGCGAGGAGGAGGCUACUCUAGUUAAUACCUAGAGAUAGUGGACGUUACUCGCAGAAUAAGCACCGGCUAACUCUGUGCCAGCAGCCGCGGUAAUACAGAGGGUGCGAGCGUUAAUCGGAUUUACUGGGCGUAAAGCGUGCGUAGGCGGCUGAUUAAGUCGGAUGUGAAAUCCCUGAGCUUAACUUAGGAAUUGCAUUCGAUACUGGUCAGCUAGAGUAUGGGAGAGGAUGGUAGAAUUCCAGGUGUAGCGGUGAAAUGCGUAGAGAUCUGGAGGAAUACCGAUGGCGAAGGCAGCCAUCUGGCCUAAUACUGACGCUGAGGUACGAAAGCAUGGGGAGCAAACAGGAUUAGAUACCCUGGUAGUCCAUGCCGUAAACGAUGUCUACUAGCCGUUGGGGCCUUUGAGGCUUUAGUGGCGCAGCUAACGCGAUAAGUAGACCGCCUGGGGAGUACGGUCGCAAGACUAAAACUCAAAUGAAUUGACGGGGGCCCGCACAAGCGGUGGAGCAUGUGG